UUAAAAUCUAUGAUAAGAAUUAGUAGGCUAAAAAACAAAUUUACAGAGAGCUAUAGGUGGUGGAAUUAUAGCAAUUAUGCUUUAGUUGAAUGGGUCUUUGAGAUGCGGUGUGAAAUUUAUUAGUAGCAUCAGCCGUUACCUUACGUUAUAAAGGAUAGAUAUGUUAGUAUCUUAUUAGAGUUAACCUUUCAGGUUAAAAUAGGUGGUACCGCGAUUAUUACGCCCUAUGA
This 230-nucleotide non-coding RNA is filed under the name Clostridium cadaveris. RNAcentral's name for it is "T-box sequence". It matches the Rfam family "T-box leader". Rfam says of the family: Uncharged tRNA acts as the effector for transcription antitermination of genes in the T-box leader family. T-boxes are found upstream of many aminoacyl-tRNA synthetase genes and some amino acid biosynthetic genes usually in Gram-positive bacteria. The anticodon of a specific tRNA base pairs to a specifier sequence within the T-box motif, and the NCCA acceptor tail of the tRNA base pairs to a conserved bulge in the T-box antiterminator hairpin. The record is from RNAcentral. Lineage: Bacteria; Bacillati; Bacillota; Clostridia; Eubacteriales; Clostridiaceae.